RNAcentral lists this ribosomal RNA (524 nucleotides) under uncultured bacterium. RNAcentral's name for it is "partial 16S ribosomal RNA". It matches the Rfam family "Bacterial small subunit ribosomal RNA", at positions 28 to 523 of the family's 1533-position model. The record is from RNAcentral.
GACGAACGCUGGCGGCGUGCCUAAUACAUGCAAGUCGAGCGCAGGAAAUCGACGGAACCCUUCGGGGGGAAGUCGACGGAAUGAGCGGCGGACGGGUGAGUAACACGUAAAGAACCUGCCCUCAGGUCUGGGAUAACCACGAGAAAUCGGGGCUAAUACCGGAUGGGUCAUCGGACCGCAUGGUCCGAGAAUGAAAGGCGCUUCGGCGUCGCCUGGGGAUGGCUUUGCGGUGCAUUAGCUAGUUGGUGGGGUAAUGGCCCACCAAGGCGACGAUGCAUAGCCGACCUGGGAGGGUGAUCGGCCACACUGGGACUGAGACACGGCCCAGACUCCUACGGGAGGCAGCAGUAGGGAAUCUUCCACAAUGGACGAAAGUCUGAUGGAGCAACGCCGCGUGAACGAUGAAGGCCUUCGGGUCGUAAAGUUCUGUUGUAAGGGAAGAACAAGUGCCGCAGGCAAUGGCGGCACCUUGACGGUACCUUGCGAGAAAGCCACGGCUAACUACGUGCCAGCCGCCGCAGUAA